Molecule: unclassified non-coding RNA, 405 nt
Filed under: soil metagenome
Description: partial contains 5.8S ribosomal RNA, internal transcribed spacer 2, and large subunit ribosomal RNA
Rfam family: 5.8S ribosomal RNA (bases 1-121)
Source: RNAcentral
GAUGAAGAACGUAGCGAAAUGCGAUAAGUAAUGUGAAUUGCAGAAUUCAGUGAAUCAUCGAGUCUUUGAACGCACCUUGCGCCCUUUGGCCAUUCCGAAGGGCAUGCCUGUUUGAGUAUCAUGAACACCUCAACUCUUUAUGGUUUUCCAUGAUGAGCUUGGACUCUGGGGGUUUUGCUGGCUCACAGUCGGCUCCUCUAAAAUGAAUCAGCUUACCAGUGUUUGGUGGGUAUCAUGGGUGUGAUAACUAUCUACGCUUGUGGUUUUUCCACCAGGUAACCUUCAGCAGUGGAGGUUCGCUGGAGCUCAUAGAUGUCUCUCCUCAGUGAGGACAGCCCUUUGAAUGUUUGAUCUCAAAUCAGGUAGGACUACCCGCUGAACUUAAGCAUAUCAAUAAGCGGAGGA